UACCAGAGGAAUAAGCACCGGCUAACUCCGUGCCAGCAGCCGCGGUAAUACGGAGGGUGCAAGCGUUAUCCGGAUUCACUGGGUUUAAAGGGUGCGUAGGUGGGCAGGUAAGUCAGUGGUGAAAUCUUCGAGCUUAACUCGGAAACUGCCAUUGAUACUAUCUGUCUUGAAUAUCCUGGAGGUGAGCGGAAUAUGUCAUGUAGCGGUGAAAUGCUUAGAUAUGACAUAGAACACCAAUUGCGAAGGCAGCUCACUACGGGAUGAUUGACGCUGAGGCACGAAAGCGUGGGGAUCAAACAGGAUUAGAUACCCUGGUAGU
This 319-nucleotide ribosomal RNA is filed under the name uncultured bacterium. RNAcentral describes it as "bacterial SSU rRNA". It matches the Rfam family "Bacterial small subunit ribosomal RNA", at positions 476 to 794 of the family's 1533-position model. The record is from RNAcentral.